Molecule: microRNA precursor, 104 nt
Filed under: Pelobates cultripes (western spadefoot toad)
Lineage: Eukaryota; Metazoa; Chordata; Amphibia; Anura; Pelobatidae
Source: RNAcentral
UGUGUGUGUGUGUGUGUGUGUGUGUGUGUGUAUAGACCCACAAAUAGAUACAAUAUUUUCUACAUAUAUACAUACACACAAACACACACACACACACACACAUA